UGUGGCUCAGUGGUAGAGUGCUCUUCUCGCACAUGAGAGGUACUGGGUUUGAUUCUCAGCA
RNAcentral lists this transfer RNA (61 nucleotides) under Ictidomys tridecemlineatus (thirteen-lined ground squirrel). RNAcentral's name for it is "Spermophilus tridecemlineatus (thirteen-lined ground squirrel) tRNA". It matches the Rfam family "tRNA", at positions 6 to 65 of the family's 71-position model. From Rfam's summary of the family: Transfer RNA (tRNA) molecules are approximately 80 nucleotides in length. Their secondary structure includes four short double-helical elements and three loops (D, anti-codon, and T loops). The record is from Rfam by way of RNAcentral. Lineage: Eukaryota; Metazoa; Chordata; Mammalia; Rodentia; Sciuridae.